UACUUGGUGGCGACCGGCGCAAGGGUGCGUAACGCGUGAGCAACAUGCCCGUAUCAGGGGGAUAAUCCAGGGAAACUUGGUCUAAUACUCCAUAGUAAUCAUAUUAGGCAGCUGGUAUGAUUUAAAGCUUAGGUGGAUACGGAUUGGCUCGCGUGACAUUAGCUAGAUGGUAAGGUAACGGCUUACCAUGGCUAUGAUGUCUAGGGGUUCUGAGAGGAAGGUCCCCCACACUGGAACUGAGACACGGUCCAGACUCCUACGGGAGGCAGCAGUGAAGAAUAUUGGACAAUGGAUGGAAAUCUGAUCCAGCCAUGCCGCGUGAAGGACGACGGUCCUAUGGAUUGUAAACUUCUUUUGUAUGGGAGCAAUAAGGUCUACGUGUAGAUCGAUGAGAGUACCAUACGAAUAAGCAUCGGCUAACUCCGUGCCAGCAGCCGCGGUAAUACGGAGGAUGCGAGCGUUAUCCGGAUUUAUUGGGUUUAAAGGGUGCGUAGGCGGUUGUAUAAGUCAGCGGUGAAAUUUUCCGGCUUAACCGGGAGACUGCCGUUGAUACUGUAUAGCUUGAAUACNGUUGCUGUGAGUGGAAUGUGUGGUGUAG
RNAcentral lists this ribosomal RNA (598 nucleotides) under uncultured bacterium. RNAcentral's name for it is "bacterial SSU rRNA". It matches the Rfam family "Bacterial small subunit ribosomal RNA", at positions 81 to 678 of the family's 1533-position model. The record is from RNAcentral.